AUCGCAAGGGGAGCUUUUGCUGAGAGUUGCCGCAGUAACGCGGCAAGACCCUCAUGACCUGAUACGGAUAAUACCGUCGUAGGGAGCGGAAAG
RNAcentral lists this non-coding RNA (93 nucleotides) under uncultured Eubacterium sp. The record is from RNAcentral. Lineage: Bacteria; Bacillati; Bacillota; Clostridia; Eubacteriales; Eubacteriaceae.